UAAAAAGUGUUAAUGGCACUUGUAUCCAUUACCCACCUUGUGUGCAAUGUCGGGGGAGAGGACUUUUUUUCUCUCCUUCAUAUACAUACUACUUUUUCAUCAUCAGUCUACAAUCUAUUUUAGAGGAUAAAAACUCGAAAAUA
Molecule: unclassified non-coding RNA, 143 nt
Filed under: uncultured fungus
Lineage: Eukaryota; Fungi
Description: sequence contains ITS1, 5.8S rRNA gene
Source: RNAcentral